RNAcentral lists this ribosomal RNA (760 nucleotides) under uncultured Neisseria sp. RNAcentral describes it as "bacterial SSU rRNA". It matches the Rfam family "Bacterial small subunit ribosomal RNA", at positions 77 to 830 of the family's 1533-position model. The record is from RNAcentral. Lineage: Bacteria; Pseudomonadati; Pseudomonadota; Betaproteobacteria; Neisseriales; Neisseriaceae.
AGCUUGCUUCUUGGGUGGCGAGUGGCGAACGGGUGAGUAACAUAUCGGAACGUACCGAGCAGUGGGGGAUAACUAAUCGAAAGAUUAGCUAAUACCGCAUAUAUUCUGAGGAAGAAAGCAGGGGACCAUUUGGCCUUGCGCUGUUUGGGCGGCCGAUAUCUGAUUAGCUAGUUGGUGGGGUAAAGGCCUACCAAGGCGACGAUCAGUAGCGGGUCUGAGAGGAUGAUCCGCCACACUGGGACUGAGACACGGCCCAGACUCCUACGGGAGGCAGCAGUGGGGAAUUUUGGACAAUGGGCGCAAGCCUGAUCCAGCCAUGCCGCGUGUCUGAAGAAGGCCUUCGGGUUGUAAAGGACUUUUGUCAGGGAAGAAAAGGGCGGGGUUAAUACCCCUGUCUGAUGACGGUACCUGAAGAAUAAGCACCGGCUAACUACGUGCCAGCAGCCGCGGUAAUACGUAGGGUGCGAGCGUUAAUCGGAAUUACUGGGCGUAAAGCGGGCGCAGACGGUUACUUAAGCAGGAUGUGAAAUCCCCGGGCUCAACCUGGGAACUGCGUUCUGAACUGGGUGACUAGAGUGUGUCAGAGGGAGGUAGAAUUCCACGUGUAGCAGUGAAAUGCGUAGAGAUGUGGAGGAAUACCGAUGGCGAAGGCAGCCUCCUGGGAUAACACUGACGUUCAUGCCCGAAAGCGUGGGUAGCAAACAGGAUUAGAUACCCUGGUAGUCCACGCCCUAAACGAUGUCGAUUAGCUGUUGGGCAG